RNAcentral lists this ribosomal RNA (484 nucleotides) under uncultured bacterium. RNAcentral's name for it is "partial 16S ribosomal RNA". It matches the Rfam family "Bacterial small subunit ribosomal RNA", at positions 30 to 507 of the family's 1533-position model. The record is from RNAcentral.
AUUGAACGCUGGCGGCAGGCCUAACACAUGCAAGUCGAGCGGAUGAAGGGAGCUUGCUCCUGGAUUCAGCGGCGGACGGGUGAGUAAUGCCUAGGAUUCUGCCUGGUAGUGGGGGAUAACGUCCGGAAACGGGCGCUAAUACCGCAUACGUCCUGAGGGAGAAAGUGGGGGAUCUUCGGACCUCACGCUAUCAGAUGAGCCUAGGUCGGAUUAGCUAGUUGGUGGGGUAAAGGCCUACCAAGGCGACGAUCCGUAACUGGUCUGAGAGGAUGAUCAGUCACACUGGAACUUAGACACGGUCCAGACUCCUACGGGAGGCAGCAGUGGGGAAUAUUGGACAAUGGGCGAAAGCCUGAUCCAGCCAUGCCGCGUGUGUGAAGAAGGUCUUCGGAUUGUAAAGCACUUUAAGUUGGGAGGAAGGGCAGUAAGUUAAUACCUUGCUGUUUUGACGUUACCAACAGAAUAAGCACCGGCUGACUUCGUG